This 2663-nucleotide ribosomal RNA is filed under the name Escherichia coli HVH 225 (4-1273116). RNAcentral's name for it is "bacterial LSU rRNA". It matches the Rfam family "Bacterial large subunit ribosomal RNA". The record is from RNAcentral. Lineage: Bacteria; Pseudomonadati; Pseudomonadota; Gammaproteobacteria; Enterobacterales; Enterobacteriaceae.
UAGCGGCGAGCGAACGGGGAGGAGCCCAGAGCCUGAAUCAGUGUGUGUGUUAGUGGAAGCGUCUGGAAAGGCGCGCGAUACAGGGUGACAGCCCCGUACACAAAAAUGCACAUAUUGUGAGCUCGAUGAGUAGGGCGGGACACGUGGUAUCCUGUCUGAAUAUGGGGGGACCAUCCUCCAAGGCUAAAUACUCCUGACUGACCGAUAGUGAACCAGUACCGUGAGGGAAAGGCGAAAAGAACCCCGGCGAGGGGAGUGAAAAAGAACCUGAAACCGUGUACGUACAAGCAGUGGGAGCCUCUUAAUGGGGUGACUGCGUACCUUUUGUAUAAUGGGUCAGCGACUUAUAUUCUGUAGCAAGGUUAACCGAAUAGGGGAGCCGAAGGGAAACCGAGUCUUAACUGGGCGUUAAGUUGCAGGGUAUAGACCCGAAACCCGGUGAUCUAGCCAUGGGCAGGUUGAAGGUUGGGUAACACUAACUGGAGGACCGAACCGACUAAUGUUGAAAAAUUAGCGGAUGAUUUGUGGCUGGGGGGGAAAGGCCAAUCAAACCGGGAGAUAGCUGGUUCUCCCCGAAAGCUAUUUAGGUAGCGCCUCGUGAAUUCAUCUCCGGGGGUAGAGCACUGUUUCGGCAAGGGGGUCAUCCCGACUUACCAACCCGAUGCAAACUGCGAAUACCGGAGAAUGUUAUCACGGGAGACACACGGCGGGUGCUAACGUCCGUCGUGAAGAGGGAAACAACCCAGACCGCCAGCUAAGGUCCCAAAGUCAUGGUUAAGUGGGAAACGAUGUGGGAAGGCCCAGACAGCCAGGAUGUUGGCUUAGAAGCAGCCAUCAUUUAAAGAAAGCGUAAUAGCUCACUGGUCGAGUCGGCCUGCGCGGAAGAUGUAACGGGGCUAAACCAUGCACCGAAGCUGCGGCAGCGACGCUUAUGCGUUGUUGGGUAGGGGAGCGUUCUGUAAGCCUGUGAAGGUGGCCUGUGAGGGUUGCUGGAGGUAUCAGAAGUGCGAAUGCUGACAUAAGUAACGAUAAAGCGGGUGAAAAGCCCGCUCGCCGGAAGACCAAGGGUUCCUGUCCAACGUUAAUCGGGGCAGGGUGAGUCGACCCCUAAGGCGAGGCCGAAAGGCGUAGUCGAUGGGAAACAGGUUAAUAUUCCUGUACUUGGUGUUACUGCGAAGGGGGGACGGAGAAGGCUAUGUUGGCCGGGCGACGGUUGUCCCGGUUUAAGCGUGUAGGCUGGUUUUCCAGGCAAAUCCGGAAAACCAAGGCUGAGGCGUGAUGACGAGGCACUACGGUGCUGAAGCAACAAAUGCCCUGCUUCCAGGAAAAGCCUCUAAGCAUCAGGUAACAUCAAAUCGUACCCCAAACCGACACAGGUGGUCAGGUAGAGAAUACCAAGGCGCUUGAGAGAACUCGGGUGAAGGAACUAGGCAAAAUGGUGCCGUAACUUCGGGAGAAGGCACGCUGAUAUGUAGGUGAAGCGACUUGCUCGUGGAGCUGAAAUCAGUCGAAGAUACCAGCUGGCUGCAACUGUUUAUUAAAAACACAGCACUGUGCAAACACGAAAGUGGACGUAUACGGUGUGACGCCUGCCCGGUGCCGGAAGGUUAAUUGAUGGGGUUAGCGGUAACGCGAAGCUCUUGAUCGAAGCCCCGGUAAACGGCGGCCGUAACUAUAACGGUCCUAAGGUAGCGAAAUUCCUUGUCGGGUAAGUUCCGACCUGCACGAAUGGCGUAAUGAUGGCCAGGCUGUCUCCACCCGAGACUCAGUGAAAUUGAACUCGCUGUGAAGAUGCAGUGUACCCGCGGCAAGACGGAAAGACCCCGUGAACCUUUACUAUAGCUUGACACUGAACAUUGAGCCUUGAUGUGUAGGAUAGGUGGGAGGCUUUGAAGUGUGGACGCCAGUCUGCAUGGAGCCGACCUUGAAAUACCACCCUUUAAUGUUUGAUGUUCUAACGUGGGCCCCUAAUCGGGGUUGCGGACAGUGUCUGGUGGGUAGUUUGACUGGGGCGGUCUCCUCCUAAAGAGUAACGGAGGAGCACGAAGGUUGGCUAAUCCUGGUCGGACAUCAGGAGGUUAGUGCAAUGGCAUAAGCCAGCUUGACUGCGAGCGUGACGGCGCGAGCAGGUGCGAAAGCAGGUCAUAGUGAUCCGGUGGUUCUGAAUGGAAGGGCCAUCGCUCAACGGAUAAAAGGUACUCCGGGGAUAACAGGCUGAUACCGCCCAAGAGUUCAUAUCGACGGCGGUGUUUGGCACCUCGAUGUCGGCUCAUCACAUCCUGGGGCUGAAGUAGGUCCCAAGGGUAUGGCUGUUCGCCAUUUAAAGUGGUACGCGAGCUGGGUUUAGAACGUCGUGAGACAGUUCGGUCCCUAUCUGCCGUGGGCGCUGGAGAACUGAGGGGGGCUGCUCCUAGUACGAGAGGACCGGAGUGGACGCAUCACUGGUGUUCGGGUUGUCAUGCCAAUGGCACUGCCCGGUAGCUAAAUGCGGAAGAGAUAAGUGCUGAAAGCAUCUAAGCACGAAACUUGCCCCGAGAUGAGUUCUCCCUGAGACUUAGAGUCUCCUGAAGGAACGUUGAAGACGACGACGUUGAUAGGCCGGGUGUGUAAGCGCAGCGAUGCGUUGAGCUAACCGGUACUAAUGAACCGUGAGGCUUAACCUU